Non-coding RNA from Corvus moneduloides (New Caledonian crow), 293 nucleotides. The record is from Ensembl. NCBI's taxonomy places the organism in Eukaryota, Metazoa, Chordata, Aves, Passeriformes, Corvidae.
UGGAAGUGAUGAAACAGAGAUAAUUGGGGGUGUGUGUGGAUGGAGUGUGUGUGAGAAAGGGAAUUAUCCCAGAGUCAGGCUGGGGGUGGGGAUUGAGUGUGGAUGUGAGGAAAGGGCUCUCAUGGGGGCACUGAUGGCAGUGCUGAGGCCGGAGUGCAUCUGAGGCGUGUUGGGCACCUCGGGGGCCCCUCUGCAACACUGCCAGUGAUUAAAGCCCCAAGCAAGCCCACCAGGAGAGCCCAGGCAGCCCAAAUCUCUACCAGGGUCAGCAGUGAUCCUGUGAUCUGAUCUCG